This 252-nucleotide ribosomal RNA is filed under the name uncultured bacterium. Its description in RNAcentral is "partial 16S ribosomal RNA". It matches the Rfam family "Bacterial small subunit ribosomal RNA", at positions 102 to 354 of the family's 1533-position model. The record is from RNAcentral.
ACGGGUGAGUAACGCGUGGAAAACCUGCCGUAUACUGGGGGAUAACACUUAGAAAUAGGUGCUAAUACCGCAUAAGCGCACAGCUUCGCAUGAAGCGGUGUGAAAAACUCUGGUGGUAUACGAUGGUUCCGCGUCUGAUUAGCUAGUUGGUGGGGUAAUGGCCUACCAAGGCAACGAUCAGUAGCCGGCCUGAGAGGGUGAACGGCCACAUUGGGACUGAGACACGGCCCAAACUCCUACGGAAGGCAGCAG